GACGAACGCGUGGCGGCGUGGAUUAGGCAUGCAAGUCGAACGGUAUCAUCCUUUCGGGGGUGAGAGAGUGGCGAACUGGUGAGUAACACGUAGGUUAUCUACCCUCAAGACGGGACAACCCAGGGAAACUUGGGCUAAUACCGGAUGUGAGCAACUUUUAGUUGUUUGAAAGGUGGCGUAAGCUGUCGCUUGGGGAUGAGCCUGCGUCCUAUUAGUUAGUUGGUGAGGUAACGGCUCACCUAGGCAAUGAUAGGUAGGCGGCCUUAACGGGUGGUCGCCCACACUGGGAUUGAGAUACGGCCCAGACUCCUACGGGAGGCAGCAGUCGAGAAUAGUCUACAAUGGUCGGAAGACUGAUAGUGCGACGCCGCGUGAACGAUGAAUCCCUUCGGGGUGUAAAGUUCUUUUAUAUGUGAGCAGUGCUUCUUAUAUUAACAGUAUGGGGAGAGAGAUAUUAGCAUAUGAAUAAGCAACGGCUAACUCCGUG
RNAcentral lists this ribosomal RNA (487 nucleotides) under uncultured bacterium. RNAcentral describes it as "bacterial SSU rRNA". It matches the Rfam family "Bacterial small subunit ribosomal RNA", at positions 28 to 507 of the family's 1533-position model. The record is from RNAcentral.